UCUUGCGCAAUGGCCGAAAGGCUGAUGCAGCGACGCCGCGUGGGGGAGGAAGGGCUUCGGCUCGUAAACCCCUGUUGCCCGGGGCGAACAUCCCGUUUCGACGGGACUGACGGUACCGGGUGAGGAAGCACCGGCUAACUCCGUGCCAGCAGCCGCGGUAAUACGGAGGGUGCGAGCGUUGUCCGGAAUCACUGGGCGUAAAGGGCGCGUAGGUGGCUUCUCAAGCGCGCGGUGAAAGCCCGGGGCUCAACCCCGGGUCGGCCGUGCGGACUGGGAGGCUCGAGCACUGUAGGGGCGGGUGGAAUUCCGGGUGUAGCGGUGGGAUGCGUAGAGAUCCGGAAGAACACCGGUGGCGAAGGCGGCCCGCUGGGCAGGAAGGUGUCGUAAGACACCGGCUGACACUGAGGCGCGACAGCGUGGGGAGCAAAC
This 429-nucleotide ribosomal RNA is filed under the name uncultured bacterium. RNAcentral describes it as "bacterial SSU rRNA". It matches the Rfam family "Bacterial small subunit ribosomal RNA", at positions 362 to 773 of the family's 1533-position model. The record is from RNAcentral.